GUGGGGAAUAUUGGACAAUGGGCGAAAGCCUGAUCCAGCCAUGCCGCGUGUGUGAAGAAGGUCUUCGGAUUGUAAAGCACUUUAAGUUGGGAGGAAGGGCAGUAAGUUAAUACCUUGCUGUUUUGACGUUACCAACAGAAUAAGCACCGGCUAACUUCGUGCCAGCAGCCGCGGUAAUACGAAGGGUGCAAGCGUUAAUCGGAAUUACUGGGCGUAAAGCGCGCGUAGGUGGUUUUGUAAGUUGGAGGUGAAAUCCCCGGGAGCAACCUGGGAACUGCCUCCAAAACUGCAUGACUAGAGUACGGUAGAGGGUAGUGGAAUUUCCUGUGUAGCGGUGAAAUGCGUAGAUAUAGGAAGGAACACCAGUGGCGAAGGCGACUACCUGGACUGAUACUGACACUGAGGUGCGAGAGCGUGAGGAGCAAACAGGAUUAGAUACCCUGGUAGUCC
RNAcentral lists this ribosomal RNA (450 nucleotides) under uncultured bacterium. RNAcentral describes it as "partial 16S ribosomal RNA". It matches the Rfam family "Bacterial small subunit ribosomal RNA", at positions 354 to 796 of the family's 1533-position model. The record is from RNAcentral.